UACGUAGGUGACCAGCGUUGUCCGGAUUUACUGGGCGUAAAGAGCGCGCAGGCGGUCGUUCAAGUCGAGUGUGAAAGCCCCCGGCUCAACUGGGGAGGGUCACUCGAUACUGAUCGACUUGAAGGCAGGAGAGGGAAGCGGAAUUCCCGGUGUAGUGGUGAAAUGCGUAGAUAUCGGGAGGAACACCAGUGGCGAAGGCGGCUUCCUGGCCUGUUCUUGACGCUGAGGCGCGAAAGCUAGGGGAGCAAAACGGG
RNAcentral lists this ribosomal RNA (254 nucleotides) under uncultured bacterium. RNAcentral describes it as "partial 16S ribosomal RNA". It matches the Rfam family "Bacterial small subunit ribosomal RNA", at positions 524 to 777 of the family's 1533-position model. The record is from RNAcentral.